UUCUAGUAUUGAAUUUUAGUUUAUAUCUUUUCUGUUGUUGUUUUGUGCAGUUUAGCCAGUUUCUAUUGGAGAGGACACAAAAAUAGACAAAAGUGAGAAAAGAAAGGGAAAAAGGCCCAAAUUGUCCACAGAUACUACAGUGUACUUGUAACUAAUUGGAUGAACUUGGGAUUAAAAAAAAAAAAAGUGUUAUCUUUCUUUUUACAUGGUUCAUUACCUCUUUCCCAGAACAGUGUUUGUUUUGUUUUAACAAAACACAUUUAUCACAGUAAUAGUAAGUGGAAUUGGUCUGAGAAGUUUGGAUCAUUUUCAACUUAUAAUUCUCUAAAUAUUGUUGGUGAAUGUGUCUACAAAAGAACUGAGGAUGGAGUUACAUUGUGAUUUAAUAGUAAUAAGAACAAGAGCAAUAGAAGUCUAUGUAAUAUGUUACACUUCGAAAACCAUUUUUCACAUACUUCAUUUAUUCCAUGCUAUUAGCAAUCCUACAGAGGAGAUAUGAUGAAACCAUUUUUCUGAUGAGGAAACCAAGACCCUGAGUGUGGCUAGUCAGCCUGGCUAUUCCAGACCCACUGACCUCAAUCCCCAGCUCUUUCCACAUUAAGAUGGGUAACAGGUUGGCUGACAGUAGUGCCUCCUUCAGACUAAUGAGAAAGGCCAAAUGGGAAUUUUCAAGCCAAAAAGUGGGAACAGCCAAGUCUAAGAAGAGAAAUUAUGAAGCAAGCCUUAUUGGACAUGUGGAUGUGAAAGCUGCUGAUGGGACUGAAUGACAUCAUUAGGCAGCAGUUGGUCCAGAGUAGAAUUUAAUUCAACCUGUGGUCUCAUAACCUGAUUGUUUUGGGUCUCAUAACACUAUCAGUCAAAAAAACUUUGUGCAUGCACACUCAGGUUUUAUUCAUUUCUAGAAUAGAGCAUGUAUAUUAAUCUAUUUUAUAUUUUAUAAAACAUAAACAAAAACAAAUUUUAGAUUGAGAGGAUAAAAAUACAAAAAGUUUUAGCGUUUUUUUCUUGUACUUGUUUUCUAAUAUGUGACAUGAAAUUGUCUUCUACAUACUCGCUGGUUGUUCUCUAUGGCUCAGGAAUUCUGUAAUUUAUAACCAGUGUUUGAAUAAUAAGGUUUGUCUGAAGAAUUUUUUUGCAGGACACCAGCUACCUUAUUUUCUGCAACUGCAUUUUCAAUGUAUAUUCAUUUGGCCAUGUUAAUGAGCUCUCCAUAAAGAGCUCAUUUUAUAUUCUUUCUAGAAUUAUAUUUUAUAUUCUUUUAUAUUCUUUCUAGAAAGAUUCAGUUGCUUGUCUUACAGUGGUCCACUGGAGCCAUCUCAUUUAACCUCAUUUAAAUAGCCUUGAGCCCAAAAAACAUGUCUGUAUUCAGGGCCAAAUAGAUGUCUAGCCAGAAUCAGAGGACACACCAUCAUGAGUGUCAGCCACUGACAUAUUUUGUCUAGAUUUGGAGAAUUUAUGUUUUGUUUUUCCUGUGAUUUGGUAUGUGGUGAAUGUGUUUAUUUAUUUUGUGAAUUUUAUUUGGGGGAUAAAUAUUUCACAUAUCUCAUUUAUUUAAAUAGACUGAAAGAAAAAAAAGAAAACAAUUUCUUUACUGGUUUCUUUGGAUUCAAAUUUCAAAUUUAAGAGAUUGGAGAGUGUAAGAUUUGUGCAUGGAAUCUGAGUUUUCUUUCCACGAGGACAAAGACAAUAGCUUACCAUAAGGAUUCCCUUAUUUGUCUUGUGAGAUACAGUUUGUAAAAAGCACUCAUCAACCAGAAAUUGAUGUUUAAGAGACAGCAACUAUAUGGGUGGUUUUCUCAACCUCUCUCCUUUGAGGAGGGACACAAAACUACAAUUUUUUUUUUUUCCAGAUAUGUGCUAUGUGUUGGUAGGUCACACAGAUAACAAGUUUGAGAAAAAGUAACAGCUCUGUUGUCUCCAUUCUCACAAAAGUCACUCUGAAUUCCUGCCAUUGUCCUUAAAGUAUGUGCAAAUGCUAUUAAAUAUUGCCAGAGUACAUCCCUGGGACAUCAAAGAGCUGAUUGCACAUGUCAUGUCUCUGCCAAGGGCCAAAUCCAAUUGGAAGGCAACUGCCUAGGAGCAGUGAAGCCCCUAUACUUGGAGGAAAUGCGCUGUGGAGGAUUCUUUCCUGAAAUGCCCUUAGUGUUCUUCCCCUUGUCUCUCCAGCUUGUGGAGAUGUGGGCAUCUUAAGUCCAGAGUAAGCUUUUAGAGGAAGAGAAAAGUUGAUUUCCCAGUCUGUUCAACUGUCCACACUAACUCAAUUCUUGGUCACAGCGACUCUGUGACAUGACCACAAUGGGGUAAAUACUAACCUGAUAUUGAUGGAGUUCACCAAAGACAGCUGCUUUGCUUUGUCCUGCUCAUACAAACAUGAUGUGGAAACUUGCAUUGCUGAUGGCAACACACUGGACAGAUUUCUGGAAAGGAAUUCUCAUUCAUUGGAUAGAAGGUUUGGAAGACAGUUUCUGUGUCUGUUUCUUUUUCUUUUGCUAACAAGAUUUUUUUUUUUUGUCUUUUUUAAAAGUAGAUUCUUGAUUUCACUAUGUUGAUGACCUCGUUUUCAAAUUGCUUAUUUGAAGAAAUCAUUUGGACUUGAUAAGCAGUGAUCUUUGUAAUUAAGAACAUGUUGUGCGUUUGUGUGUGUGUUUAUUUAUUUAAUUCUGUUUUAUUCAUUUAUUUUUCUUCUCAACCUUGGCCAAAUAUUUCCUCCUUGGCAAAGGACUUUAUGGACAAACUACUGAUUUUGGAGCCUGGUCAUUGCAUGUCUUCUGGACAGGUUCUGGACCAUCCCUGGGUGAUCACCGUAGCUUCAGGGUCUUCCAGGAGAACCCUUCAGAGAGUAGUUUCCUGGAACUUCGUGCAGAGAGCUCUUCCCAAUCUGAGUCCCAGAUCUGCACGAUCUUCUAAGUCACAUUCUUAUCAUAAAUCAAGGCACAUGUGGAGCAAGAGAAACUUAAGGGUAGAAGAAUCACCACCACCUGCACUUUAGUGAGCAGAUGACAUUUAAAUCACUUUAUCCAAUGUUAAGCCAGAUACAUUAACUUCAUUAAUAGCUUCAGGUCAAUAGGGACCAUUUCGUCAUGAUUAAGGCAGCUUAAAGCUCCAAAGACCUGGGAGUAUGUGGUUAUUGUUGUAUAAUGGUGACCUUCACUUUUCACAUUUCUUGAUCUGUACUUUUCUCCAUAUUUACAUAGGAAAUAUAGAAAUUCUCCAAAUUAUACAUAACCAAUAUAGUCAAUAUUUAGUACAUUUAUGUAAUAGGAGAUAGUAGCUGAAGAAAAUCUCUUAAUAAUUUACGGAUUAAAUAUCUUGUGAAAUUAUAGGAACAAUGGAUUAAUAUGUGAAGGGAUGUUCUAUAAGAGAUAUAGCAGGCAUGGUUAGACAAAGGAAAUAAAUUUGCUCAUCCUGAAAUUACUGAUUUAUAGUCAAGACCAGUGUGUAGUGUUAAUAACCACUGGGUAACGCUCAAGAAAGUUACAAGUGUCUGUUAAUUUCAUAUUUAGUCUGCAAGUAUUCAUGGAAAUUAUUAAUUAUGGGGCAUAUCAAGAAGCUUAGCUGAGUUCCUGCUGUUGUACUGUGGAUUAACAAUCCAGUGCUGCUGCAACUGGAAACAAUUUCAUCAAAAAAGUAGAAAAAAAUGGGCAAAUACUUUGACAGGUAGUUCAUAAAGGACAAAUGACUAAUGUAUGUGAAAAUGCCUGAUUUCACUCACAAUUUAAAAAUGUAAAUUAAAACAGCAAAGAAAAUAAUUUUUCACCUCUCAUAUUAACAUAAUUUAAGACAUGGAUAACACAUCUGAUAGAGGUUGAGGAAGGCAUAUCAUGCAUCACUGAGGGAAAUGCGAGCAAGCUGAUUCCACUUCACCAGGAACAGUUUGGCAGCAAUACCUGUUCAAAUUUAAAAUGAAGUGGCCUUGUGACAUAAUAGUGGAAUUUUCAGAAAUUUGUCCUACCCAUACUCUUGCAAAAGUGUGCAAAUUAUAUGUGCCAAAGUGUAUAAAAUAUUGUUGUUUAUAAAAACAGGAAUCACAUGUGAAUGCCCACCAAUAUGGGAGCUCCUUAAACAAAGCAUAUUCCAUCUAAUCCAUGGGGAACUACACAUUAUAAAAACGACUUGGGCAAUCUGUAUGUUACAUGAUAUGUUAUUAGGUAAAAUGAAAAGGCAAGGUACAGAGAAGUAUGGUUUCAUUUGUGUGAAAAUAUACUUAGAAGCUUGAAAGAUUUGUAAGAAUUUGACAGAGUGAUUAUUUCCUUGGAGUAGGAAAUUUGGAAUGGAAAGGAAAGAUUUAUUUUUCAUUUUAUACCCAUAUCUACCUUAAAAAAAUUUUUUUGAGCCACACCCACAGCAUAUAAAACUUCCUGGGCCAGGGAUCAAACCCUCACCACAGCAAGGACCUGAGUCACUGGAUCCUAAAUCGGCUUUACCAAGGAAACUCCAAAAUUAUUUUAGUUGAUGUAUUUGAAUUGUCUAUAGUAAAAUGAAAAUCCAGUUAAAAAUUCAAGGAACAGAAGUGAAAAAAAAUAAAUAAAAAGAGAAGUUUGAAUAAGUACCCCUAGAGGAAUUUGGGAUUGACUGACUAAUCAACUGUGAAAGCUGGUUCUUUAUAUAACUGGAUAUUUUAUAUCUUUUCCAAUUGAAAAAUUCAGAAUAAAAAUACAACUCCCCAAAUUAUAAUGUUAGAUAUAGAAAACAAAUUUAUGCUUACCAGAGGGGGAGGGGGUAAUGAUAAAUUGGGAGUUUGGGAUUGACAUGACACAGACACGCAGUUAAAUAUAAAAUGGAUAAACUGUUAGGACAUACUGUAUAGCACCGGGAGCUAUAUACAGUAUCUUGUAAUAACUUAUGAUGGAAAAGAAUCUAAAAAAAAAAAAUCUGGAUCACUUUGCUGUACACCUGGAACUAACACAACUUUGUAAAUCAAUUAUACUUAAGGCAUGUGGAAGUUCCCAGGCUAGGGGUCAAAUUAGAGCUGUAGCCACUGGCCUACGCCACAGCCACUGGUGUCUGUGCCUACACCACAGCUCACAUCAAUGCCAGAUCCUUCAACCCUCAAGGCCAGGUAUCAACCCUGAGUCCUCAUGGAUACAAGUUGGACUCGUUCCCACUAAGCCACAACAGGAACUUCACAGACAUUAUUCUUUAUUUGAUUUCACAAACAGCUCAGAAAUGUGCAGUAAAUUAUUCAUGGUCACACAGCAGGUAAAUAGCAGGUCUAGAAUAUGAACCUCAGAACUCCUUCUGCAAUCUCUAUGUUGGAUUACUUCCAAGAGAUUAGAAUGCAAGAGGAAAGCUCUGAUGUCUUAGAUUUCAUCCAUAUUGACAUAAAGAAAUAGUAGAAUACAAUAUUACCUCAAGUUAUGGUGUAAAUAUUUAUAAUUUCCAUGGAUAAUUUAUUUUCAUGUCCUUUGCUUAUGCAGUUUGCCUUGAGGUGAUUUUCUAUCAACUUCAGACUUAAAGAGCUCACCUGCAGGCAUCUUGUAGUCCAAGUCAGGACUGGGUUAUUGUGGGGUAUCAGAGGAUUUUGAAUGCAGGGCACUGAGCCAGAUUUAGGAGAGGUAGGGCUGGCUAGGAAGAUGAGUCAAGCCUCAGAGAUGGGCAAUGGUAGAGAGUUUGGAAUGAAGGGAGGCAGGCUGGGGCUGCAGCGACCAGCAAGAAUCUACUUCUUCAGGUAGAAGGAGACAAUAAGGACUCAGAGCCCUCGGGAGAGGAGGUUGACACCGAGUCCAUGGCUCCCCAGGGUCAGAGUACUUGUUUACAUGGUAACAGAGGACCAUUAGUGAGAGAACCUCCAGGAUGGAAGGACUAAGAGGCAGACAGUGUGACUCAUGACUCACUUCUCAAGGGUGGGGCCAGACUUUAUCUCUGAAACCCCACACCCUUGUAAUCGUAAUCUGCAUUUAGCAGGCACUCAGUGUUUGAAAAUGAGAGGUGGACUGCUCCCU
This 5942-nucleotide long non-coding RNA is filed under the name Sus scrofa (pig). RNAcentral describes it as "lncRNA (ENSSSCG00030038511.1)". The record is from RNAcentral. Lineage: Eukaryota; Metazoa; Chordata; Mammalia; Artiodactyla; Suidae.